CGCCGCGAGCCGCGAUUACCAGAGGUGGUUUGAGCUGCGUCCCGUUGUGAUUAAUUAGUAGGAGUGCGAUACGCAGUGCGAUUCAAGCAUCGUGUCGUGUAAAGUUCCGAGUGCCGGGAGUGCCGUGUAAAGUUUCGGGCGAUCGUAAUUAUAUUUGUUUUCGCGAGUGCCGUGAGUGCUACGAUGGACCAAGAGAGGAGAAGGAGAUCCAGAGAGGCAUCGGGCGACAGCGGGGCAACUGUGAGAUCAAAAUAUGCUGUGUGCUACAACUCCGCUAUCGCAUACUCCGUAUCG
Nylanderia fulva is the source of this 294-nucleotide non-coding RNA. NCBI's taxonomy places the organism in Eukaryota, Metazoa, Arthropoda, Insecta, Hymenoptera, Formicidae. The record is from RefSeq and is a predicted model, not a curated record.